UAGGGAAUCUUCCACAAUGGACGCAAGUCUGAUGGAGCAACGCCGCAUGAGUGAAGAAGGGUUUCGGCUCGUAAAGCUCUGUUGUUAAAGAAGAACGUGGGUAAGAGUAACUGUUUACCCAGUGACGGUAUUUAACCAGAAAGCCACGGCUAACUACGUGCCAG
RNAcentral lists this ribosomal RNA (164 nucleotides) under uncultured bacterium. RNAcentral's name for it is "partial 16S ribosomal RNA". It matches the Rfam family "Bacterial small subunit ribosomal RNA", at positions 355 to 511 of the family's 1533-position model. The record is from RNAcentral.